UGGUUAUGUGGUGUGUUGACGUUAUUGC
Molecule: non-coding RNA, 28 nt
Filed under: Bombyx mori (domestic silkworm)
Lineage: Eukaryota; Metazoa; Arthropoda; Insecta; Lepidoptera; Bombycidae
Source: RNAcentral